GGAGCAGUGCGUGGCCGAAUGGUUACGCUGUCCGCUUAGUAAGCGGAUGAUGCUGGGUUCGAUUCCCAUCUGCUCCA
This 77-nucleotide transfer RNA is filed under the name Culex quinquefasciatus (southern house mosquito). RNAcentral's name for it is "tRNA-Thr". It matches the Rfam family "tRNA". From Rfam's summary of the family: Transfer RNA (tRNA) molecules are approximately 80 nucleotides in length. Their secondary structure includes four short double-helical elements and three loops (D, anti-codon, and T loops). Further hydrogen bonds mediate the characteristic L-shaped molecular structure. tRNAs have two regions of fundamental functional importance: the anti-codon, which is responsible for specific mRNA codon recognition, and the 3' end, to which the tRNAs corresponding amino acid is attached (by aminoacyl-tRNA synthetases). tRNAs cope with the degeneracy of the genetic code in two manners: having more than one tRNA (with a specific anti-codon) for a particular amino acid; and 'wobble' base-pairing, i.e. permitting non-standard base-pairing at the 3rd anti-codon position. Lineage: Eukaryota; Metazoa; Arthropoda; Insecta; Diptera; Culicidae. The record is from RNAcentral.